RNAcentral lists this ribosomal RNA (253 nucleotides) under uncultured bacterium. Its description in RNAcentral is "partial 16S ribosomal RNA". It matches the Rfam family "Bacterial small subunit ribosomal RNA", at positions 524 to 776 of the family's 1533-position model. The record is from RNAcentral.
UACGUAGGGUGCAAGCGUUAAUCGGAAUUAUUGGGCGUAAAGAGCUUGUAGGCGGUUUGUCGCGUCUGCUGUGAAAUCUCAAGGCUCAACCUUGAGCUUGCAGUGGGUACGGGCAGACUAGAGUGUGGCAGAGGGAGGUGGAAUUCCACGUGUAGCAGUGAAAUGCGUAGAGAUGUGGAGGAACACCGAUGGCGAAGGCAGCCUCCUGGGCCAGCACUGACGCUCAUGCACGAAAGCGUGGGGAGCAAACAGG